GCCUGGCUGGCUCAGUCAGUAGAGCAUGAGACUCUUGAUCUCAGGGUCCUGAGUUUGAGCCCCAUGUUAGACG
RNAcentral lists this transfer RNA (73 nucleotides) under Canis lupus familiaris (dog). It matches the Rfam family "tRNA". Rfam says of the family: Transfer RNA (tRNA) molecules are approximately 80 nucleotides in length. Their secondary structure includes four short double-helical elements and three loops (D, anti-codon, and T loops). The record is from Rfam by way of RNAcentral. Lineage: Eukaryota; Metazoa; Chordata; Mammalia; Carnivora; Canidae.